GUCUCUGUUAAUGUCCUUCCUGGUGUUAGACAUUUGUUUAAUGAUCAAUAGUGGUUUCUAUUCCUACAGCUGUGUUUUUCAGAGAGUAGCAUAACCAAGUCAAUGUUUAACUGGAUUCUUUGACUCUGGAAUGGCAAUGCAGGAGGUAAAGGGAAGUCUCCAUGGAAACCAACCUUCUGGGAAGUAGCCAGGGGGUUAGUAUGUGGUGAAACAGAGCAAGAGAGAUGUUGUGAGGGAAACCACUACUUUCUAAAGCUGGGGUCAGCUUCCAAAAUAUCUUUUUUUUUUUUUUUGGUACUAGGGAUUGAACUCAGGGGCACUUAACCACUGAGCCAUAUCCCCAGCCCUUUUUUUGUAUUUUACUUAGAGACAGAGACUCACCAAGUGGCUUAGGGUCUCCCAAACUGCUGGGAUUCUGAAAUAUCUUAAUUAAAACAAACUACGUUAAAGACCCCCAAACUACCUCCAGCAUGGUUUUCCUUUGAAUCUCUUUCAUGGGAAAUGGGCCGGAGUCACUCUAAGGCUCACUCUCGGGUCACCAAAGUAGCCCCUCUGGAAAACAAAGGAGCAGACACUCCUUCAGCUGGCCCUAUGGAUUUUGCAUUUAAUCAGAACCUAGAAGAAAAGAGCUCAUAUUCGUUGACAAGACUACAGGACCGGAAUGAAAUUCUGAAUGGCCAGCUGCCACCUCUUCGAGAAACCUGGUAUGGAAGAUAUUCUACAGGUAAAUGCAAAACUCAGCAUGGGAUUUAUGUAUCGGGACCUAAUAGAGCUGUCAAUAGAUUGACCAAAAAAAAAAAAAAAAUAGAUUGACCCAUCUCCGUGAUCUCAGCAAGUCUCUAAUUUAUUGAGAUGUAAGGAAAUAUGUGGGGAUUGAACAUUUGUCAGUUGAAGUAGGAAUUGAAUGUCUGUCAAUCAAAGGUAUUCUGGCACCUUAGAAUGGGAGUGUAAACUGUGUACAAAGGCAUUUUUAACAUUCCAAAUGAGAAGGAAAAUCAUUUUGUUUCAGCUUAGUUUAUAGUGCUUUCCAUGUUUGUACUGAGCUUUGCCAGAUCAUUAAAAUUAUAAAGGCACUGAUGUAAUGAAUGAUAACAAUCAUGUAUUUCAGUUAGAUUCUAAAUUUAAAUCAUCAUCUCCAAUACAGUUUAAUGCAUCAGGCUUUGUGGUUUUGAAAGCAGCACUUUAGGAGUGAAUCUUCUCUAAUGUGACUUUUGAAAACACCCCAAACAAAAUUGAUUUAUUGUAGAACAGAUGAGUGGAUGAGUCACCCCUUCUCUUCAUGGUCAUCUUCAGGGGAAAUAAUUUUUUCCAUUUGAUUGGAAGCUCUCAGCCUGAAGUGGCUAUAAAUUAUUCUGUGAUAUUUUAUAAGACAUGUAAAAUAUGUUGUGAUGAUCAUCGAGAUAAUGAAACAGAUAUUCUAACUUGGGAAGAGAAAUAUGUUUGUAAAGUAUAUGCAAGUAUAUAUGUAUGGAAUUUUCUCUUUUCUUCUCAUCCUGGAUCAGACACACAAGUAAGCUCCCCUUACUGGAAGUCUUGAUCAGAAUGCCUGCAUUCUCUUUUGAAACCUAGCAGAACUUGCCCACAAUGAUUUGCAUGAGUGUCUUCUGUAGAAUUGACAAUGUUAAGUAGUUCUAUACAGCCUAUUUUAUUUGUUCUCCAACUUCUUUAAUAUCUGAAUGGGAAUUUUCCCCUUAGUUGAACUGAAAGAUUCUUUUUUUUUUUUUUUUAUCCAAACUCUUUAUCCAGAGUUUUAAGAUUUUUGUUAACUGGAUAGUGAAAGCUGAUUUUAGUGCUUUAGAGUUCCAACUGGAAAUUUUUAUUUUUGAGAAGACAAAAUCUCAUUGAAUAUAAAUAACAAGGCAUUAGUGAGCAUGCUGCAGGCUAAUCCCAGUUCCACCAAAUACCAAACCAGACCAUCUUGAACGAAUCACUUCAUCAAUUUUCUUCACCUAUAAUCAGGGGUGAAAACAACAUGCCAUAUUGGGAAAAAUCUAACUAAAUAAUGGGGUUAUAUCUUUCAAAUCACAGUAUAAAAAUAAGAAGUAGUCAGACUUCUGAAAAAAUUUUGCCAAAAAUAUUUACACUUUUAAAUCCAAUGUUUUGUUGUUGUUUCUGUACUCUCGAUGUGGUAUCAUCAUUGAAAGAAAAUACAUCAUUUUCAAACUACUAAAAGUUAGAGCAAAGUCAUUAAAGUGGUCAUUAAAAGUCUUAAGGAUGGAGAUGCAUAAUACUCCUGGAAUUUUCCAUUUCAAAUGUGAAGUGAGAGUAUAGGAUGGUCUAUUUAACAAUCUAGAAAUCAGAUGCAUCCAUAUUGCCAAGGGAAAGGACAAGGAUUUCACUCGUGCUGUUUGGUCUUGGCAACAGUACAAGAGCCCAGGAUUAUAAAAUUCACAAUAGACCUAUUGAGCCUCCCUGUUUCCUAGCAGAGGCUUAACUCUGUAGCCCUGGUUUGUUUUCUCAGGAAAGAAUGUCAAUAUGUUGUAUUACAGUAGCAACUUGGAAUUUCCCUGGUUUGAGAGAAACUAUUUAAUUGUGAUCAUACAAGGCUAAGCAUUGCAUGCUCUUAUUGGAAGCUCGUAUUCUAAUUCUGAGUCACCUUUCUCUGCAUCUAAUCACCUAUUACCUAUUUCGAGUUCCAAAAGAUAGAUAAGAUAGAUUUUUUUCAUUUGUUAAAUAUAUUUUUUUCUGAUUUCUUGUAUUUUGGGGAGGAGAUUCAUGGAACUAAAACAAAUAAGUGAGUUUCUAUGACUUUCCAUUACAUAGGCCAAAUUCUGCGUUUCAGUUGCAUUUGUAGUCCAUGCAUUGUUAAUUUUGCAGAUCUUCCUCUAAAUAUCUAUCAGAGAAGGAAAUGAUGAAAUCAGAAAUUAGACUAAAAUUUUAUCAUUCACAUUCAAGUAGGGACCCUGUUCCAUGUGUUUCAUCUCCACAUUCAAUCUAUGGGUUAAACGUAUAUAACUGAAAAGGUACAAAAUUAUGUUAACAAGUCUAAAAACUAAGGAUCAUCUUUCUAAUUUAAUGGUAAAUUGUUUUAAUGGCUUAUUCUCAUUUCUCCCCCAAUUCUUCAAGCACCCAGGGCCAUGUAUUUUGACAUCCCACUGGAACGGGGAGAAACAAGUAUUAUUAAAAGGCAUCCACCUCGAAGACUUGAAGUAAGAUGAAUUUAAGAGGCUUCAUAAAGAAUUUCUUGGAUUAAAUAGUAAUAUCUCUUUUUACCUAUCUUCAUAAAAGAAGGAUAUUGACUAACUUUAAUAAGAAUAUUUUUAAAGAUAAUUUUGCCAAUUGCAAGGACCAAUCUACUUAGGAUUUCCUUUGUAAUGAUUUCAUUUCCAAAAGGAGCAAGUAUACUAAUAAGUACAUGGGUAGGGGGACUUCGGGGCCUGAAUCUAGCACUGACUCAUUGAGUGUCUCUGGGAAAUUAUAAUAAAUAACAAAAACAAUGACUACCACUACUAUUCAAUUACCACCCUUCUACAAGUCUGAUACUAUUCUAGACAACUUAAUCUAUGGCAUUCAUUUAAUCCGCUAAGCCUCCUAUUAGAAAGGAAGUCUUGCCCUUAUUUUAUACAUGUGGUCAGAGAGCUAAGUAACUUGCCCAAGGACACACAGAGACUGAAUACCAGCCAGAUAUCAAAGUCCUUACUCCUAAUCAUCAGUUCAAAUGAUCUCUACAACUUCUAACUUUAUUUUCCCAGAAAAUAAACUAGUUGUUGAAAUUAGGAACAUUAAAUCUCAACAAAGCAAAAGCAUCAAAUGUAUUCACCUUAAUAAACGUUUAAUAGAUUCCCUUUAGAGGGAUACAAAUUCUAAGAGCGACAAAGUCCAAAAAGUAUCAUCCUAGAAAGGGAAAGAGAUCAGAGUGGGUCCUUGAAAAUGAGCAACAGCUAAAAGGAGGGUUUGGGGCUCUCUCAUGAGCAGGAUCUACCAUUGACAUUUGAGAAACGGGAUUAUAGCCAAAUCCCACCUGCUACAUAAUUCACCCAGAUGCCUGGGCUAUCCCCAGGGGUAUAGAAGCUUAUUUUUGAGAAUUAUUUCUGUUUCAGUUGGUUUUUAUUUGUCUUCUCCAGAAGCUCAAAAUUAUCAUUUGAAAUGAUUAUAGGCUUUCAUUCAAAAAGAGCAUCUUUUCCAAAAUUAUUAGAAAAUAUUCCAAAAUAUUAAAAACCUCAAAAAUAUUGUUUAGCUCAAGAAAAAUAAAGUAUAAAUGUAAUGAAUUAGUAUCUAAUUUCAAAGUUUUUGAGCAUAUCUAUGGAUAAACUGAAUAACUUUAAGACUUGUUUUAUUCCUAAACCAAAGUUUCCUUUCAAUGGAGUGUGUUUAAAAUGUCUCUGUGAAGCUGACUAACUCAAACAGAAGAAAUUAUAGCCAGUGAAAAACAUCUGUGUAGCACUGUAUAGUCCACAAAGUAUUUUUAUUAUCUAUCAAACCUAUGGAAGACAAGGUCAGGUUUGGGUUCUCCCAAUAGUCCAUCAAGCUCAAAAGAGGACUUUGAUAUUUCAGCAUCUAAUACUACACCCCACACACUAACCAACCACCUUAAAAUUAAAGUCAAGAAAAAUAUAUGGGCUCAGUGUUAGAUACUUGUCAUCCUAGCACCUUGGGAGGCUGGCUGAGGCAAAAGGACUGCAAGUUCAAAGCCAGUGUUUUAGUCAGCUUUUUUGCUGCUGUGAUUGAAAGACCUGACCAGAACAGUUGUAGAGGAGGAGAAGUUUAUUUGAGGGCUCACGAUUUCAGAGAUCUCAGUCCAUAGACAGCGACUCUAUUUCUCAGGAUUCAAGUGAGACUGAACAUCAUGGUGGAAGAGUGAGGUGGAAGCAAGCGGCUCACACGAUGUGAGAAAGCAGAGAGGUGUCUCCACUUACCAUAUAUAAAACAUAUGCCUCAAAGCCACGCCCCCAAUGACCCAACUUCUCCAGCCACACCCUAUCUGCCUUCAAUUACCACUCAGUUAAUUCCAUCAGGGAAUUGAUUUACUGAUUGGUUUAAAACUCUCAUAACCCGAUUAUUUCUCCUGUAAACCCUCUUGCAUUGUCUCACACCUGAGCUUUGGGAGAUACCUCACAUCCAAACCAUUACAGCCAGCUUCAGCAACUUAGCAAGGCCAUAAGCAAUUUAGUAAGAUCCUGUCUCAAAAUAAAAAAAAUUUAAAAACUGGGCAUGUAUUUAGUCAUUAAGCGCCCCUGGAUUUAAUCCCUGGCACCAAAGAAAGAAAGAAAGAAGGAAGAGAAAGGAAGGAAGAAUGGAUAGAUUAUGUGAGUACAAAGGCUAUGUCUCAUUUAAUCAUAUAUCUUCAGCCACUAACAUUGUGUGCCACAGAAAAGUCAGUUGGUGAAUGAAUGAACAUCAUGUCGGCUGGGGGAAAAACACUCAAAGUGCACUCCCUGCUACUACAGACCUGGAGCAUCCCUGUAUUAGAAUCUGCCUACCCAGAGCAACCAAUAUGGUUAAUUAUAAAGGUAGAGGAAUGUUUUAUUGAACCUCAGAGCAGGGAGACACCUGUCGGCAACUGAAAGGCAGAACUCUCCAAGUUUCUCCCCCAAGCUCUCUUCUGUCUGUGUGCUUAAUGCCUCUGCAGAUCAUCCUUCUCUGCUCCUCAGGUGCACUUGAUGAAAUAUGGGCACCCUGGGAUUGCAUCUUAUAGUUCCAGUCAAAUGGACAGAUUGACCUGAUCCUCUUGGCUCUGAUUCCAAAUUCCUGGGAGGCAAGAUAUGACUGGCUAAGCUUUGCUCAUGAUUCGAGCUCUGAUCCAGUGAGUUAUAAGCAGAGGACAUGUUCAUGCAGUAGAAAUGUGGGUGGAAGAGUCACCCUCUAGAUUCUGGAAUCAGCUCCCAGAAAGAGGGAAAUCACUAGGAACUUGGCAGACACUCCCAAAGAUAUCAGCUAUAAUUAUCUUCACAAAUGAGGCUCAGCACAUUUUCCACCACAAAUGGGUUUUUGAGAGAAUAAUAAAUGCUGGGUUCCCAUGACAUGCUAAUUAAUAGCCUAAUCUCUGCCCAAAAAAAUUCUAAAAGUAUUUUUAAUUAUUAAACCAAAUAUAAUUGCAUCCUAAAUAAUUUGAGCUGUGUAUUUGGCACUCUCCAUUUCCUGAACAUCUACUCCUCAAGGAUAGAGCAGGUCAUGAACUAAGGUUCCUCAACUGGGAACUGAGCUCUGAGAGCCUCUGCCAGGACAGUGAAUCAAAUGUGCCUGCCCCAUGGAGAAGAGUUGAUCAGCAGCACCCCCUCUGGUCUGAUUAGCUUCUCCUGCAAACGUCUAAAAUCCAGCCUAAGUUGGGAAGUUGCCCCCACAUGUACUACAUCCCCCGAUGAUUUGCUUGGAUAAUUCCCUCACCUCCAAGGAUUUGUUCAAAUGUCACCAUCUUCAGAAGGCCUACCCUCCUGACCAAUUUACUGACAAUAGCAACCCUCCUCCAAUCCUCGUGAUUCCCUCCAUCCUUCACUGUCUUGUCUUUUCCCCAGCACGCCUAUUUCCAUCUAAUACACCAAACACAUUAUUUACCUAUUAUGUUCAUCUUGUAUUUUCUUCACUACUCCCUUAUCUCUCUCAUGCUAGAAUACAACCUUCAUAGAGCCAGGGAUUUUAUUUUUCUGUUGUUACUAAUGUAUCUGAAUAUCUAGAAGGGUGCCUGGCACAUAACACAUGGUCAGUAAGGAUGUUUUGGUUAUUGAAUGAUUGAAUUGGAGACGAAAGAAUGACGAGUGUAAAUCUGCUGGUGAGGAAUAAGAAGGAUGGUUCUGCCUUGGAUGGUUUCAACGUUGUUUUUGGCCUUAGACAAUAUUGAGUCUACUGAACCGAGAACGUGACAUAGACCUUCAUUUACUCAGAUUUCCUUUUAGCUCUUUCAAUAGCGUUUCAUGAUUUCUCCAUGGGAGUCUUGUGCAAUUUUUAAAGUUUGUUUCUAGGCGUUUGUAACAGUUAGGGUUCAACCAGAGAAGCAGAACCAGCAGAAGAAGUUAUCUAUUAAUAGACUUACAGCAAGGAAUUGGAUUAUGUGAUUGUGGAGUCUGGCAAGGCAAAUCCAAUAACUACAGGGCAGGAAGGGCAGGCUGGAACUCUCAGGCAGAAGCUGAAGCUGCUGUCCACUGGCAGAAUUUCUUCUUCAAGGUAGCUUUAGUUUUAUUCUUAAGACUUCUCAAUUGGCUCGGUAAGGACUGCAGUGAGAACUUUUCAGAGCUAUCCAUUCUCACGUGUGCAGGCCUCCAGCCGGCAGCUGCUCUUUCCUGUUGGAUGAGCGCUGAGCCCUUUGUGGGGAAAACAUGUCAAUGAGAAACAGAAAUUUUACGUGGAAUCUAGUGACUCUAGAAGUUUUCAGAUCUGUGAAAAAUCUAAUAUGACUUUUUCCUUUCUUUCUCUCCUCAGUUUAAACCAUUCUCUUCAUUCUCAGUUUGCAGGAGAAAUCUUAACCACAGGUUGUUCCUGACUUUUCUGUCCCUAACUCACCAGAAUCCUGGGGAUCCUUGGGGAUGUUUUCUGUAGCACCUUCUCCCUCCAUACUCUGACAAUGCUCUCCUGAAUAGGACUCCUCACACACAGAAACAAAAGCUGUGAGGUGGGGCUAAUUUUUUAUAGGUCCCACUAAGUCAUCCCAGAGCCAGCCAGGGGCUGCUAUGCAGCCGGCUGACUUGGUAUGAUGACUUGCUGUCCAGGUACUGUCAGAUCCUCAAGGCCAUUUACUGCAGACAACACCUGCAGAGAUGGGUCCCUCCCUGUGUGUCUCCCCUAAAUGGCAGAACUCCCCAAGGCUUAUCCUGGCCAAUGAGAAUACACCAUAGGGAAAUAGAUUCCAUUUAACCAGUCAGUGGCUCUUCUAUAACCAGCCCAUCAGUCAGUGGUAGAAGAGGCAAGGAGAGAAAGGAAGGUGUCAUUUAAUCAGAACACAUUUCUAGAGGGAUAGUAACAAGCAGGGGGAAUUAUAUAUUGUCAAAGUGAGAUUUUCAAAAUGAAAUUGUCAAAGCCUUUGUAUUAGAGGUCUGCAAAACUCUACAGAAACCUUUAAAACUACCUUAUAUAUACUGCAAAGUGCCACUUCACUCACUGAUAGUGAUACAAAGGACUUGUCAGGGACGCACAGUAGUCCCCAUUUAUCAUCACAAGAAAUCUCUAUGGAUUAUGAUGGCUUAAGAUCUCACUCAGUCCAUAUAAAUUAUCCAAAAUAAUCUUCAUUAAAUUCAACAUAUUGUGGACCUAAAUCACAUCCUCAAAAUAUUUCACAGUAACACCUAGAUUAGUGUGUGCACAACUGGAGACCAUAGCCUAGCUGAGUUGCCACAUAUAACUGACCAUCAGAUAUGUUAUAGGACUUUUCCCCUACCUAUUGCGAAUGAGGUCUUUUUUUCCAUUGAAUCUUCUAAAUGAUUAUUAUUAGUAAACAAGAAAGCUAUAAAUUUUUGUAUAUUGAAAUUUGUGUUUCACAACUUUAUUCACAUACCUUGAUAAUUCUCAUGGUCUGUAGAUUCUUCUAGAUUUCUGUAGAGGCAAUAUCAUCUGUAAUUUUUUUUUCCUCUUUCUUCCCAAUUCUUAUUCUUUGUACUUGUUUUCUUGACUUCUGCAUCAGCUAGAAUUUCUUUGCAAUGUUGAAUACAGGCAGUGAUAAUGGGUAUCCUUGUCUUAUCUAUGACAUUAAUGGGACUAGUUCUAAAACUAAGUACAGGUUGAACAUCCCUCAACUGAAAAUCUGAAGUCCAAAAUGUUCCAAAACCCAAAGCUUUCUGAGCACCAACAUGACGCCACAAGAGGAACAUUCUACACCUGACCUCAUGUGAUGGGUUGCAGCCAAAUGCAGGUGCACUGAAAAUAUGACAUGAAAUUACCUUCAGGCUAUGUGUAGAGGAAGCAUAAAAUAAACAUUUUGUGUUUAGACUUAGAUCCCUUCCCCAAGAUGCCUCAUUACGUACAUUAAAAUAUUCCAAAAUCUGGGGGAAAAAAUCUGAAAUCUGAGGCAGUUCUAAUUCCAAGUAUUUCAGAUAAAGGACACUCAACCUGUAGAAUAUUUACAAUGGGAUUUUGAUAGGUACUGGUACCAGUCAGAUUCCCAAAAGGAAACAAAUGUCACAAUCAAAUUACAAUAAUCCAGGAAUAUUUUUCCUUAUAACUAUCUACGUAUAGAGAUUUGGUCAAGAAAACCACAAAAGAUAUUGCAAUAGCCACAAGUGGCCUCUGAGGGUAACCACAGACUGAGAAAGGGAGAGAUUUCUGGAGCCUGGAAAGAGAAAUUGGGGAAGAGGGAGCUGCUUUGAGAGUAACAGGGACCUUCCUUUGAGAGACAGAGUCACCCCAGUAUAGCUUUGCAGGAAGGGAUAUAGAGGAACAAGCACCUUGCUUUCUUGUCUUCCCCACUCUAGUCUCCUGCCACGUCCCCCAGUGGCUGUACUGGAUGUGAAGUCAUAAGCAGGGAAACUGCUCAGCCCUUACAGACAGAGACCAGAGCAGAGAAGCGUGGCAAGUGGAUCCAGAAAAACAAAUGAAAGAGAACUGGCACAAUGCCAUUUAUUUUAAUUAUCAUCUUCCCCUUUAUUCGUCAGUGCUAAAAGUUUUCCUCAGGGCUGUGUUAAAUUUGUUUAUUUUUCCCUGUAUAUUAAAAUAAUUAUAUGGGUUUCCUUAUUAACCAGCGAAUAGAUUAUAAAUUUUAUGAUGUUGAACUAGACUUGCAUUCCUGGCCUAAGUCCUACUUGACUUAUGAGAUACAUAUAUAAAUAUACCACUGAAUUGGGUUUUCUACAGCUGUGUGUAUGUAUUUUAAUAAGUGACAUAUUUGUAUGUUUUUUCCAGUUUUGCUGUCGAGAUUAAAUUAGUCUUGUGAAAGGAGUCAAUUACCUUUCCCUCUUUUCUACUCUCUGAUUCAUUUGUUAUAACACAGGUGUUAUCUGUUCCUCUAAUGUUUGGUAAAAUGGGCCUUUAAAACAAUUUCUAGCCACUGGGGCUUUUAAGGGGAGUAAGAAAUUUUUUACUAAGAAUUUCUUUGAUGGUUCUUAGUUGAUUUGGGUAUCUUAUUUUUCUUGCUAAUCCAUAUGUUUACAAGAAAUUUUCCAUUUACCUAAACUUUUAAAUUUGCUGUAGCUCAGUGGCAGAGUGCUUGCCUAGAAUGUGUGAGGCACUGGGUUCAAUCUUUAGCACUGCAUAAAAAUAAACAAAUAAAAUAAAGCCAUUCUGUCCAUCUACACCAACAAAAAAGUUUAAAAUUACAAAAAGUCUUAUAUUCUUUAUAUUUGACUUUGAUAAUACUUAUAAAACAAAUCUUUCAGCUUCCCUUUAGAUUCUGCUAUUUCAUUUAUUUUUCUCAGUACUGGGAAUAUUACCCAGGACCUCACACGUGCUAAGCAUAUACUCUACCACUAAGCUACUCCCCCAUCCCUGUAAUUCUUUUAUAAGGUAGGCUGAUGGAAAAUAAUUCAGCCCCUAAUUUCAAUCUGUGGGUCUGAUUCUGAUUUCCCAUUUAAAUCGACCAUUUUUAGAUCCUCUUUAACCAAUAGAAAUAAUAGCCAUCAAGGCCACUAAGUGCCUUAUAAAUCAAGCUUCCCCUAAAUGUUUGUAUUCCUGUUCUUUUGUCUGAUCUAAGGAGAUAUUUGUCUUAAUUAAAGCCAGGCCAUAUCUUUUUUUAUUUUGCAUUUUAUUUUUUCAUUGUUAGCUGUGUGGAGCAAACGUUGUUGAACUAGGAGCUCAAUGCAAUGCCUUAAUCAGAAAUUCCUUUUUGGCCUUAUGAUUUCUCACUUCAAAGGUGUCCUGGAUACCUUUCUCUGCUUCCCAGAACCUUAAAAAACACAUUCUUAAGUUAUGGUGCCAGAUAGAUUUUACAUUUUCAUUAAGUUGCUCUAGUCCAUGUUCCUCUUCUUGUUGGAAAAGGUUAGUGUUUAUCACCAGGUUCAGUGAUUUGGGGCCUAUGGUUGAUUUAAUCUUGAUUCUUGAAUCUCCUAGCAGACAUUUCAACUAUGGUGGCCAUUUGUUUUGUUUGAGAAGCCAAUAAUUCAGAAGCCUUUAGACAAAUAAUACAUAUCUUGAUAUUAUAAAAUGAUUUUUAAGAAUUGUCAUUUUACCCAUUUUCUAGUAAUUCCUUCCAUUAGGUUCUCUUUGAAGAUGAUGAAUUGAAGCAUCUCACUUCACAGGCAGGGAAAAGGAACAUGCAUACGAGGACCCAGAAUUCUAAGGCAAUGUUGUUUGACUAUUUAGAUGAAACCAAUUUUCCAAGCAAUAUUUUCUGUAGCAUUUAGGAGGCCAAGAGCAAAUGACUUCAAGGUGGGAUCCCAUUUGCAAUGUCAGUUGCCGCCAUCUAGUGGCUUUCCGCAGGAAUCGUGUGGUUCUUUGGGUUUUUUCCAAAGGCCAGGAAAAAAAGUAAUUGCCUGGAAGAAUUCCUGAGCUUACCUACCACUUAGCCCUUAUCAGAACUAAGAAUUUGCCAGGCGCAGUAUCUCACCUCUGUAAUCCCAGCGGCUCAGGAGGCUGAGAAAGGAGGAACACAAGUUCAAGACCAGUCCCAGCAACUUAGGGUGGCCCCUAAGCAACUUAGUGAAACCACUUCUCAAAAUAAAUAAUGAAAGGGUUGGGGAUGUUGCUCAGCUUAACACCCCUCUGGGUUCAAUCCCUGGCACAAAAAGAAAGAAAGAGAAGGAGGGAGGGAAGGAGGAAGGAGAAAGGAGGAAGGAAGGCGAAUUUAAGUUGAAAGACCAAGAAUAGAAGGAUCUGUUAUUACCCAUAUCCUUAUAAAAGCAAAAACCUGGCCCUAAGAAUUUGUGGAUAGAUGAUUUAAAAUGAAUAAAAUAGCCUGACUUCUUCAGACUCAAGUUUUCAGUAAGACUUUGCAAACAAAUCCUUUACAGCAUAUUUUGAUGUAGUUUCUUUACUUACUUGAGGCAAUGAGGAGGCAAAUGGACCCAGUCUGGAAAGAAAUCAUCAGAGUUCCUGGGAGAGGAUAUAUAUAUAUAUAUAUAUAUAUAUAUAUAUAUAUAUAUCCUUCUAUUGGGUUCUCUUUGGAGAUGAUGAAUUGAGUCAUCUCACUUCACAGGCAGGACAUACUCAGAUCUACUGAAUCUCAAUCUCCAGUGAGUUGCCCAGGAAUUUCUUUUUUAGUUCCAGGAGAUUCUGAUGAUAAAUCAUUUGGGGAACAAGUAGGAAAGAACCUGGUGUUUGGAACUGGACACACCUGAGCUUGAAUCCUGGCAGUGCCACUUUCUUUUCUAUGCAAACUUGGACAAGUCAUUAACCUCUCUGAAAUGGGGAUCCUCAUAAUUAUGCAGAGGAUGCACCUAAGGAUUGAGUGAGGUGACAAAUUUCUACCUAGGUGUAGCGUGCAGUGGCUGCAAAAUCCUACAGGCUUCAUUGGAGAGACCCAAAUCCUGAACCUUGUCCUAGUGUGGAGUAUGGCACAAAAAAUUUUAUGUUCUUCUGACCUCCAAGAGUUCCCUCCUAUUGUUGCUGAUCCAUCCUCCCACAGGUGUCUUGAGGGUCCCCUCUGUCUUGGUUUCCCUUUCCCUAUCUUGUCUUCCCUUCUUUCAGCAUUCUGACUCAAUCCUUUGCUGCAUCCGGUGCUAGCAAGAUUCAUUUGCUUGACAUUUUCAUGUCCCACAAAGUUGAGAGCUAGGGAAACGAACUUCUUUUACUACUAUUGAUUAUUUUUCAUUACAUUUUUGCUAAAUUAUGUUUAAAAGACCACUUCCUUAUUGGAUAUGAAAAUGGAACAGAAAAGUAGUUCCUACCACAAAUGCAAAAUGCCUGAAACAUAAAGAGGAGCUCCUUGCCCUUAAGUCCCUUCCCUGUCUCCAUAUCCUUUGACUUUUUUUUUUUUUUAUUCCUUGCUAGGUCAAAUUUGAACUGCUCCAGCAGAAAGGCUGCUGUCCCAAAAACAGGUCAAGUUUAGGACCAGAAGCCAGGAAAUAAGUCCACAGAAAAGUGGAUACUCGGCAUCUAUUUUCAUGGUUCUGUUGUCUCUUUUUACCCUAGUCACCUGUCACAACUCUCUCACCUCUCUCAGGUGCAGCCAUUAAUUAAGAAGAUACUGGACUGUGGGUGAUGGGGGAUAAAGAAAAGACAAACAGACACACAUAGGGAGAAUAAGCUGGGGCCAGGUGGGUUACUAAGCUCUGGUGAGGCUUGGUUGACUCCAGAACUAGCUCAGCAAGUUUGUUGUUCAGAUUUCACCAUCAAAAGGUUAUUUGUGGGAAAGUUUCAGUGAAGCAGGCAAUCUUAAGGACACAGGACUGGAGAGACAUUAGGGUCAUCUUGUUUUGCUCAGAAUUCAUUCUCCCUGGGAGAAGGUAUUGAACUCAAGGCCUCAACUGAUGAUGCCAUAUGCCUUUGCCCAUAGACACCCUUGGCCAGCGUUACCAUAGCAACUGGGGCAUCUUGACCUGUACCUUCGAACAAGCAGCUCCCAGUGAAAACACAGCCAUGAGAGUCAGAUGGGCCAUGAUUUAGACCACUGCUCUCCACAGUCACCUUAAAAGCCACGCUGGCUUCCAAGGUCAACUUUUUGACAAUGCAACAAGUCACACCAAAAUGAAACAAUUUUUAAAUAAAUGAUCAUUUGUCUUUGGUGUUGGUUAAUGUGGGAGUGGUGCUCACACUGUGGCCUGCAGCUUGAUGUUCUCAGGGUUUUCCUCCUACUACUUGAAUCAUCACUUCUCAGUCUCCUUGGCCAGCUCAUCCCCAUCCACCAGUUUCUCAGUUUUGGAGCUCAAAUCUGCUGUCCUUGGCACUGCUCUUCUCAGUCUUCACCUUGCCUUUGACCUUGGUUUCAGUCAUGCUCUCCCCAGGGAUGAUUUCCAAGUGUACAGCCAACACAGACCUCUCCUCUGAGCUCCUUGCCUAACUAAUUACUACUCAAAACCUAAACUCAUAUUUCUCAAAGAUGUCUCCAACUCAACCUUCUGCAAACCAAAUUUUUAUCUUUCUUCUAAAUCCCACCCAAAAGAGGUCUUCCUCUAGGGGCCCCAACUCAGUAAAUAACACUAUCCAUCCUUUGUUCUGGGUGUCAUUGGGAGCCUUGGCUCUUCUUCUCUAGUUAGGUCUAUAUAUUCAUAGAGCCAUCAAUGUUCCUCUGUCAUCUUCAGUCCAUCCUCUUUGAAACCUCAGUUCAUCAUUCUUUGUCCUCCCCACUUCUCUCCCCACUUCAUAGUUACUCUUCUCUAAUCUCAUUUCCACACUGCACCCAGAAUUAUCAUAUUUUUUUUAAAGCAAAGGUAAUCAUGUCACUACUGUGCUUCAUACUGCCAGUGGCUUCCCAUUUCCCUUAAGAUGGACCAGCAUUAGAAUGGCCUGCUGGCCCUGCCUGAGCUCUCCAGCCCCAUUUUGAGCUUCUCUUUCCCUCACUUGGAGCUGCAGUCAACUGAGCUCUUUCAGUUCCUUAAACAGAUCAUGUUCUCACCCUGCCUUGGGGCCAGAGCACAGGCUGUUAACUCUGCCCAGAACACCUUAGUUCCCUAAAAACUCCCAAUCUUCCAAAUUCUGCUAGAAAAUUACCUCCUCAAGAAACUAUCUUGGACUGCCUUGUUAGCCUUUCCCCCCAGCUGGCCUUCUAAGGUUUUUAUAGCAAAGCACAACGAGCUGUGCGACUACAACAACAUAAACGUAUUAUAACUCAGUGUUGGGGGAAAGGAGUCUGAAAUCAAGAUAUCUAUAUGGUUGGUUCCUUCUGAAGGCUGUAAGGGAGAAUUUGUUCCAUGCCUCUUCCGUAGCUUCUGAUCAUUUGCUAGUGAUCUUUGACAUUCCUUGGCUUGUGGAAACAAGACAUUCCUGGUCUUUGCCAUUAUCUUCACAUGGUGUCCUAUUUAUAAAUGUGUCUGGGUCCACAUUUCUCCAUUUUAUAAGAAAACCAACAUAUUAGGUUAGAGGCCCAUCCUAUGGUAGUUUAUUCUAUCUCAACUAAUUGCCUCUGCAUUGACCCUAUUUCCCAAUAAGAUCAGAUUCUGAGGUAUGAAGGGUUGGGAUUUAAACAUGUAAAUGGUAGAGGGCACAAUUCAACCCAUAACAUGCCCCGUUCACUUUCAAGGUUGGGUCCUCCAGUUAUAUGUUGUCAAAUACUUUUUUAUUCAAAGCACUGGUCACAAUUUUUAAUUAUCAGUCAAAUAAUUACGUAAGCAAAAGUCAACCUAUUGCCCAUAGAUUAUAAGCUCCACUAAGGACAUGUCCACUUUCAUUGGCUAUUGCAUCCCCAUGCCUGACAUGCAGCAGUCAUUCAGCAAAUGCUCACUGGGUGAAAAAUUAACUCUCCAGGCCCCUCAUUGCACAUCACAUUGUGAAGAGACCAGCUUCAUCUCCCAAGUCUGCUCAGUCCCUUCUCAGUGUCUUGCUAUUCAGCUUGUGGAACACAAGGACAUCUGAGAUUUUUAAAAGGCUAUAGGCAGACCCAAGGACAUGAGUUACCACCCAGUCUUAGUGACCCCUCAAAACUCAAAUAUGAUGUCCUCCAUGAAGCCUAGACUCUGUAGAAAAAGACAUCACUAAGGUUUGUUAACACAUUGCAUUUCACUUUAAAUGUUUCUCCUAAUUACCUGUGAUUGUCACUGCAGGAGUCUGAGUGAGCUUCUCUGGAGAUCUUAAAAACAGGACCCUUCCCUAAGGAGUCGAAUAGGUCAGCUGGGUGGUCAAGAGAUUAGUAAAAUAAAGUAACCUCCAGGUACCUCUUUGACAUCUAAUAUUCUAAGAACUUGCUAUUUGAUACUUUGAACAUGCAGUGCAGACAGAAAACAAUUUAGUCUCUUAACUCUCUGACCAAUAUUUCAAUUGGUAAGUCACCAGCAACAGUGCAAUAGAAAUAAAGAACCCAGAUAGGUCAAAAAGCCUUUGGCACAGAUAACGACUGUAAUGCCAUUGAGAUCGCCUUCCCUAUGCAGGAAUAAGUGCUACUGCAAAGUGUUCAGAUAGUUUAAUGACUGGCUUUUGUGUUUCAUCAUCUCAUGGCAUGAGGAAUGCUGAAUACUCUAAUGUUGGACUUCUAGAAGCUUGAACCCAUUGACCUGCCACAAGUAAUUACCUCCGAAAGACUCCUGAACCAGCAACAAACCUGGACAAGGCACAAAGCAAAGGUGAGCUAUGGGAGUCACCUGAGGGGGUGGUUAGCAGGGGACAGGCUGCAUGGGAACAGGGCAAGCGGUCUUUCUCAUGUCCUGUCUGCACUAAAGAGUUCAAAGCCAGAUCAAACAGAUAAAUCCUUUGCAGUGAGAACCUUUCAGAGCUAGCCAUUCUCACGUGUGCAAGCUGCUCUUUCCUGUUGGAUGAGAAUACACCAUAGGGAAAUAGAUUCCAUUUAACCAGUCAGUGGCUGUUCUACAACCAGCCAAUCAGUCAGUGGUAGAAGAGGCAAGGAGAGAAAGGAAGGUGUCAUUUAAUCAGAACACAUUUCUAGAGGGAUAGUAAUAAGCAGGGAAAAUUAUGUAUUGUCAAAGUGAGAUUUUCAAAAUGAAAUUAUCAAAGUUUUUGCAUUCGAGGUCUGCAAAACUCUACAGGAACCUUUAAAACUACCUUAUAUAUACUGCAAAGUGCCACUUCACUCACUGAUAGUGAUACAAAGGACUUGUCAAGGAUGCACAGUAGUCCACAUUUAUCAUCACAAGAAAUCUCUAUGGAUUAUAAUGGCUUAAGAUCUCACUCUGUUCCAAGAAGAAUUUAAGGUUGUAGAUUGCAGUCAGUAACAAAUUACCCUGCACUAAUGACUGUGUCAUCUUUCAUAGCAAAAACUGGAAAAGAAAAUGCAAACUCCAACAUAUACUUCUGGGAAAAGACAAUAUUUGCAUAAAAUGCAAAUGCUGGAAAUGAACCAUAGAAGACAAGAGGUAAAUAUAAGAAGAAUGUCAUAUUUACCAAAUGUAUACCACAUA
This 16799-nucleotide long non-coding RNA is filed under the name Marmota monax (woodchuck). Lineage: Eukaryota; Metazoa; Chordata; Mammalia; Rodentia; Sciuridae. The record is from RNAcentral.